RNAcentral lists this non-coding RNA (102 nucleotides) under Natranaerobius trueperi. Its description in RNAcentral is "Guanine sequence". It matches the Rfam family "Purine riboswitch aptamer". From Rfam's summary of the family: Riboswitches are metabolite binding domains within certain messenger RNAs that serve as precision sensors for their corresponding targets. Allosteric rearrangement of mRNA structure is mediated by ligand binding, and this results in modulation of gene expression. A class of riboswitches that selectively recognises guanine and becomes saturated at concentrations as low as 5 nM. The record is from Rfam by way of RNAcentral. Lineage: Bacteria; Bacillati; Bacillota; Clostridia; Natranaerobiales; Natranaerobiaceae.
CGAACUUAAAUUUAAAUCUCUCGUAUAAAUUCGGGAAUAAGGCCCGAAAGUUUCUACCUAAUGACCGUAAAUCAUUUGGCUACGAGAGAAAGGGUACCUAGG